UACGAAGGGUGCAAGCGUUAAUCGGAAUUACUGGGCGUAAAGCGCGCGUAGGUGGUGCGUUAAGUUGGAUGUGAAAGCCCCGGGCUCAACCUGGGAACUGCAUCCAAAACUGGCGAGCGAGAGUAUGGCAGAGGGUGGUGGAAUUUCCUGUGUAGCGGUGACAGGCGUAGCUAUAGGAAGGAACACCAGGGGCGCAGGCGACCACCUGGGCUAAUACUGACACUGAGGUGCGAAAGCGUGGGUCGCAAACAGGAUUAGAUCCCCCUGGAGUCC
Molecule: ribosomal RNA, 273 nt
Filed under: uncultured bacterium
Lineage: Bacteria
Description: partial 16S ribosomal RNA
Rfam family: Bacterial small subunit ribosomal RNA
Source: RNAcentral